CUGGCACAGGUUGCCCAGAGAAGCUGUGGCUGCCCCAUCCCUGGAAGUGUUCAAGACCAGGUUGGAUGGGGCUUGAAGCAACCUGCUCUAGUGGAAAGUGUUCCUUCCCACUGCUGGAGGGUUGGAAUUACAUGAUCUUUGAGGUCUCUUCCAACCCAAACCAUUCCAUGAUUCUAUGACUCAAAGCUCCCUUAACUCCUAAGCUGACUCUCUACAGGUAUAUUGUUGUAUCUGUUGAAUCAAGGGUCACUUCUUGGCUACUGGUGGGAUUCUUGGGAACUAGCUUCAGCUGCAGUGGUUUUGUGGAUGGAUAACAGAUGUAGAAAUAAAAAUGUACUUUGCCCCAAAAUGGCCUUUUGCACUCACGUAUUCUGCUUUACAGAAAUAGUUUAAAGGGAAGAAAAUUGUUGUGCAGUAGUGUGGUUUCUUAUGUGAAAUCACAUGGAGGUGACACAGGCUGCGGUUCCACUUGGUAGAGAUGGUGGUAAAUUUGGGGAAGGAAGUGAAGGUUUCAGUCCUCCAUUACCUUAGGUCUUGCUGUGUUGAGAGGUUAGAUAGUUCUUCUCUCUCUUUUUAAUUUGGUAAUAAGUAGGGAAGAGAACAAAAGAGCAGAGAUAAACAGCUCUGUACUGAGUCCAAGUUUCUUCGGAGUGGCUGCUGGAACUUCUAAGAGCUAUUCCUAGUAUAAAUAAAUCUCAGUGGAGAAGGGCAGUAUAAGCAAAAAGUGUGUAGAAGCCUGAUUUCUUUCCUAAGUGGAUAUUAAUUUAAUGUAUUUCCUGCCUGGAUAUGAAUUUUGAGUUUGUUCUGUGUUCAGGUUUUCAUGUAAAAGCACUGCUUUGGUUUCCAGAAGAGUGGUGCAAAUGGGAAAUUGCUGUAACGACUGUUAUUGUCAAGUUUAGUUUCUGACUGCACUUUGUUCUAAGCAGGUGCUAGAAACAGUGAUGUCUGAGAAUGUCAUACUCUGGAAGUCUAAUCCCAUCCCAGUGUUUCCAGCCUGAUUCAGCCGUGUGUGUGCAAGUCUCCUGCCCUGCUUAUCACCACUUGACUGCAGCAGAGCAGCCAGCGGGGUGUGCUGGACACUGCCAUCACUGUGCCCCAGAAAUGCAGCAUUUGAAUGCUCCCUGUGAUUCUGAGUCACUGUGACUCCAGGCACAACACUGAGUGCUGCAUUCCCAGUGUUCAAUAAUGCUUUAGGAGCUGGCAGCUCAGCUGAAGACAUGGAAAUGUCUCAAGUUUGAAUUUAAACACUUUUUCAGGUUAUCACUAAUACAGUAAGUCUCUGUCUCCGCUUCUUUAUCAAUAAAAGGGAGGUUAGAAUAAUAUUUAUGUAGUUUCCUUACAGGAGUUUUUUUCAGGAUUAUUUAGUUAAUGUUGGCACUGUGAGAUGUUAUAAAUACUAGAGGCUUGUACCCGUGUACCAUAUGAUUUUCCACUUUCUGAAUGCAACUGUUAUUCUUCUGCCACUAUUCAGCCCAAUGAUUUUUAUUUUAUUUACUUCGAUUCUUUGUAUUCUAGAUUAUGCCCCACUGGCAAGGGAUCUUGGGAAAGAACUGUGAUGCUUUUGUUCGCUGAACAAAACCUGAUUCAUCCCUUUCCUUACAUCACCACCCAGCUCUCCAGCUUUUCAACACAGAGAUUGCUAUGGCUUUCCUUUAGGUACACUGAAAAUCACAGCAGCUGUUUAUUUGGAGUCAGCACUCUCCAGCGUUAUGAAGUGGUAAAAAUAUAUGUAAUCAUAGGAGAGAUUUAAUUAUCGGAGAUACUGCAGAAGUGGUUUCUUGAAGAGAGUGAAAACAAAUAGGAAAUUCAGAAACUGUGACUGGCUGAAUUCUAGAAAGAGCUCUGAAAAGCAGUGAGAGUGAGAGGAAAAAUAAGGGUUGAUGAGAAGCUAAGUGAUGGGCAGAAAUUUAGGAAAUAGGGUCACAAUAAUGAAAAGCAGGGGAAUUUUUGAGAUGGAGAUACAGAGUGAGAGUAGGUAAAUCAGAGAGAGAUGCACUGGCUCUGUUACUAUUGUGGGACCCAGUAAUGCUCCCAAUUUCUUUGCCUGGGUAUGUGUUUCUGCCUGAAUUAAAGUUUAAUUAAAAUUUAUUCAUUCCUUUGUUUAGUGAAUGGGAUAAAAUUGCAAGAAGAGAACAGAAAGGCUUUGGGGGCUGGCUGCCAUCAGUAUUACACACGAGGCACCAAAUUAGGUUUCACAGGCAAUCUUAAUUUUUGCAUUAUUUAACUUUUGCCUGACUUUAUGCAAUAUAACCUACUUGUUAAGACAUUCCUUUGCUGUUACAUAUGUAUGUAUGAGUAUUUUUUGAAACAAUGGCUUGUAAAAAGCUUCAAAUAAAACUGCCCAUGUUAUUGUCCACCUUA
Molecule: long non-coding RNA, 2361 nt
Organism: Neopelma chrysocephalum (saffron-crested tyrant-manakin)
Lineage: Eukaryota; Metazoa; Chordata; Aves; Passeriformes; Pipridae
Exons: 2
Source: RefSeq, a predicted model, not a curated record